UUAGAGUUUGAUCCUGGCUCAGGAUGAACGCUAGCGGCAGGCUUAACACAUGCAAGUCGAGGGGCAGCGAGAUCAGUGCUUGCACUGAUUGUCGGCGACCGGCGCACGGGUGCGUAACGCGUAUGCAACCUACCCAUUACAGGGGGAUAACACUGAGAAAUCGGUACUAAUACCCCAUAACAUCCAGGGAGGCAUCUUCUUGGGUUGAAAACUCCGGUGGUAAUGGAUGGGCAUGCGUUGUAUUAGUUAGUUGGUGGGGUAACGGCUCACCAAGACAACGAUACAUAGGGGGACUGAGAGGUUAACCCCCCACAUUGGUACUGAGACACGGACCAAACUCCUACGGGAGGCAGCAGUGAGGAAUAUUGGUCAAUGGACGCAAGUCUGAACCAGCCAUGCCGCGUGCAGGAAGACGGCUCUAUGAGUUGUAAACUGCUUUUGUACGAGGGUAAACGCAGAUACGCGUAUCUGUCUGAAAGUAUCGUACGAAUAAGGAUCGGCUAACUCCGUGCCAGCAGCCGCGGUAAUACGGAGGAUUCAAGCGUUAUCCGGAUUUAUUGGGUUUAAAGGGUGCGUAGGCGGUCGGAUAAGUUAGAGGUGAAAUCCCGGGGCUCAACUUCGGAAUUGCCUCUGAUACUGUUCGGCUAGAGAGUAGUUGCGGUAGGCGGAAUGUAUGGUGUAGCGGUGAAAUGCUUAGAGAUCAUACAGAACACCGAUUGCGAAGGCAGCUUACCAAGCUACUUCUGACGUUGAGGCACGAAAGCGUGGGGAGCAAACAGGAUUAGAUACCCUGGUAGUCCACGCAGUAAACGAUGAUAACUCGUUGUCGGCGAUACAGUGUCGGUGACUAAGCGAAAGCGAUAAGUUAUCCACCUGGGGAGUACGUUCGCAAGAAUGAAACUCAAAGGAAUUGACGGGGGCCCGCACAAGCGGAGGAACAUGUGGUUUAAUUCGAUGAUACGCGAGGAACCUUACCCGGGCUUGAAAGUUAGUGACGGAUCUUGAAAGAGGUCUUCCCUUCGGGGCACGAAACUAGGUGCUGCAUGGUUGUCGUCAGCUCGUGCCGUGAGGUGUCGGGUUAAGUCCCAUAACGAGCGCAACCCCUACCGUUAGUUGCCAGCAGGUCAAGCUGGGCACUCUGACGGGACUGCCGGUGUAAGCC
RNAcentral lists this ribosomal RNA (1162 nucleotides) under uncultured bacterium. Its description in RNAcentral is "bacterial SSU rRNA". It matches the Rfam family "Bacterial small subunit ribosomal RNA", at positions 1 to 1164 of the family's 1533-position model. The record is from RNAcentral.